GGAAGGAUCAUUAACAAAUCAUCUGUCGCAAGACAGACAUUCGUGCCUCCAAGCACACAUGUGUACCAGUGUUACAGUCAAUAUGUCAAAUACAAAAACUUUUAACAAUGGAUCUCUUGGCUCUUGCAUCGAUGAAGAACGCAGUGAAAUGCGAAAUUUAAUGCGAUUUGCAUGAAUCUGUGAGUCAUCAAGUCUUUGAACGCACCUUGCACUCUGCUUCUGGCAGAGUAUGCCUGUUUGAGAAUCAUAAAAUUUAUCAACUCCUUUCGGGUUGGAUGCUGGCCUUUAGUGGCUUGAAUGCAUGACUGGUUCGUGUGUUAAAAGCCUCGUGCUUUCGCCGAACCAUAAUCUACAUUGAUCUCAAAUCAGGCAAGACUACCCGCUGAACUUAAGCAUAUCAGUAAGCGGAGGAAAAGAAACUAACAAGGAUUCCCCUAGUAACGGCGAGUGAAGCGGGAUCAGCUCAAAUUUAAAAUCUGGCAGCAAUGCCCGAAUUGUAAACUAAAGAGGCGUUUUCGGCAAAAGCAUCUGCGUUCAAGUCCCUUGGAAUAGGGCAUCACAGAGGGUGAGAAUCCCGUCUGGAUGCGGAUGCCGAGCCAUAUGAGGCGUCCUCAAAGAGUCGAGUUGUUUGGGAAUGCAGCUCAAAAUGGGAGGUAAACUUCUCCUAAGGCUAAAUAACGGCAAGAGACCGAUAGCGAACAAGUACCGUGAGGGAAAGAUGAAAAGCACCUUGAAAAGGGAGUUAAAUAGUACGUGAAAUUGUUAAAAGGGAAACGAUUGAGGCCAGUAUUACUGGCGGCAGUUCAGCCUUAUUGGUGUAUUCUGUCGUCGGUGAGUCAGCAUCAGUUUGGAUCGCGGGAUGACGGCUAGAGGAAGGUGAUGGUCUAGGCCAUUUUAUAGACUCUGGUGCAGUACCCGUGGACUGGACUGAGGCAAGCAGCUGCGUUCUCCGGAUGUUGAAAGUGUCCCCCAAGGUACCAAGACAGCAUGCUGAUUUGGAUUGCAAGGGGCAUCGUAGGCAUUCGCGCGUAGUUUCUGGAUGCUGACGAAAUGGUCUUAAACGACCCGUCUUGAAACACGGACCAAGGAGUCUAACAUGUAUGCGAGUAUUUGGGUGGCAAACCCGAGUGCGCAAUGAAAGUGAAGGAUGGGAGUCGCAAGAUGCACCAUCGACCGACCUUGAUAUCUCUUGAUAGGUUUGAGUAAGAGCAUAUCUGUUGGGACCCGAAAGGUGGUGAACUAUGCCUGGAUAGGAUGAAGCCAGAGGAAACUCUGGUGGAGGUCCGUAGCCGUUCUGACGUGCAAAUCGAUGGUCAAAUCUGGGUAUAGGGGCGAAAGACUAAUCGAACCACCUAGUAGCUGGUUCCCUC
Molecule: unclassified non-coding RNA, 1370 nt
Filed under: uncultured fungus
Lineage: Eukaryota; Fungi
Description: sequence contains 18S rRNA gene, ITS1, 5.8S rRNA gene, ITS2, 28S rRNA gene
Rfam family: Eukaryotic large subunit ribosomal RNA (bases 356-1370)
Source: RNAcentral